UUUUUGGUUAAUAAUUUAAAGUCUAAUCUGCCCACUGAUAAUAUAUUAAAGGGCUGCAGUAUUUUGACUGUACAAAGGUAGCAUAAUCAUUAGUCUCUUAAUUGGUGACUUGUAUGAAAGAUUUGAUGAGAUAUAUACUGUCUCUUUUUAAUUUAUAAAAUUUAAUUUUUUAGUUAAAAAGCUAAAAUAUAUUUAAAAGACGAGAAGACCCUAUAGAGUUUUAUAUUUAAAUAAAUUAAAAUUUUUUAUAAGCUUUAAGAUUUUAAUUUAUAUAAAUAUUUUGUUGGGGUGAUAGAAAAAUUAAAAUAACUUUUUUUAUAAUUUUACAUUAAUAAAUGAAUAAAUGAUCCGUAAUUUACGAUUAUAAGAUAAAAUUACCUUAGGGAUAACAGCGUAAUUUUUUUUUUUAGCUCAAAUAAGAAAAAAAGUUUGCGACCUCGAUGUUGGAUUAAGAUAAAAUUUAAAUGCAAAAGUUUAAAAUUUUU
This 485-nucleotide ribosomal RNA is filed under the name Parnassius mercurius. Its description in RNAcentral is "Parnassius jacquemontii mercurius partial 16S ribosomal RNA". Lineage: Eukaryota; Metazoa; Arthropoda; Insecta; Lepidoptera; Papilionidae. The record is from RNAcentral.